GUGUCGGUGGUUCAAUGGUAGGAUACUCGCCUGUCACGAUGAUUGUCCGGGUUCAGUUCCCGGCCAACAUU
Non-coding RNA from Schistosoma mansoni, 71 nucleotides. The record is from Rfam. NCBI's taxonomy places the organism in Eukaryota, Metazoa, Platyhelminthes, Trematoda, Strigeidida, Schistosomatidae.